Molecule: ribosomal RNA, 133 nt
Filed under: Enterocloster lavalensis
Lineage: Bacteria; Bacillati; Bacillota; Clostridia; Lachnospirales; Lachnospiraceae
Description: [Clostridium] lavalense partial 23S ribosomal RNA
Rfam family: Bacterial large subunit ribosomal RNA
Source: RNAcentral
UUUUGGUUAAGCUAUAAAGAGCGCAGGGUGGAUGCCUUGGCACUAAGAGCCGAUGAAAGACGUGAUAAGCUGCGAAAAGCUUCGGGGAGGAGCAAAUAUCCUUUGAUCCGGAGAUAUCUGAAUGGGGAAACCU